AUGAACGCUGGCGGCGUGCCUAACACAUGCAAGUCGAGCGAGAAAUUCGCGAUUGAGAUUCGGUUGAUUGAACGAAUGGACAGCGGCGGACGGGUGAGUAACGCGUAGGUAAUCUGCCUUCAGCACAGGGAUAGCCUAGGGAAACCUGGAUUAAUACCUGAUAACGCAUUGGAGUCACAUGGCUUUGAUGCCAAAGAUUUAUCGGCUGGAGAUGAACCUGCGUCUGAUUAGAUAGUUGGUGGGGUAACGGCCUACCAAGUCAACGAUCAGUAGCCGACCUGAGAGGGUGAUCGGCCACAUUGGAACUGAGACACGGUCCAAACUCCUACGGGAGGCAGCAGUGGGGAGUAUUGCACAAUGGGCGCAAGCCUGAUGCAGCCAACGCCGCGUGAGCGAUGAAGGUCUUCGGAUCGUAAAGCUCUGUCCUCUGGGAAGAAGAAGUGACGGUACCAGAGGAGGAAGCCCCGGCUAACUACGUGCCAGCCGCAGC
This 490-nucleotide ribosomal RNA is filed under the name uncultured bacterium. RNAcentral's name for it is "bacterial SSU rRNA". It matches the Rfam family "Bacterial small subunit ribosomal RNA", at positions 29 to 518 of the family's 1533-position model. The record is from RNAcentral.